RNAcentral lists this long non-coding RNA (264 nucleotides) under Homo sapiens (human). Its description in RNAcentral is "LHRI_LNC704.1". Lineage: Eukaryota; Metazoa; Chordata; Mammalia; Primates; Hominidae. The record is from RNAcentral.
GCUGAGCCCAUGCCUCGACCCCAGGGCCAGUCCCCGCCAGGUGCCAUCCUGAGCAGGGCCACAGAACAGAUGUCCCACAUGGCCAGGACCCCUGUGGCCACCUGACCCCGGGGGGGCUGUGGCCCUCGGUGAAGCAGGUGACCGGGCGGGCUGUGGGGUUUGUCAGCUCCGCAGCGUCACUGCCGCUCAGCGUAUGAGUUUCCACUCCCAGCACUCAAUGAACAGCUGAGCAACUGCAGGUGCCUCCGAGUGCUGGGAGAGGGG